Molecule: ribosomal RNA, 730 nt
Filed under: gamma proteobacterium MN 157.2
Lineage: Bacteria; Pseudomonadati; Pseudomonadota; Gammaproteobacteria
Description: partial 16S ribosomal RNA
Source: RNAcentral
GCUCCCCACGCUUUCGUGCCUCAGUGUCAAUUCAGGCCCAGGAGGUUGCCUUCGCCAUCGGUGUUCUUCCAGAUAUCUACGCAUUUCACCGCUACACCUGGAGUUCCGCCUCCCUCUACCGAAUUCUAGUCACGAAGUAUCGAAUGGCAUUCCCAGGUUAAGCCCGGGGCUUUCACAUCCGACUUUCGUAACCACCUACGCACGCUUUACGCCCAGUAAAUCCGAUUAACGCUAGCACCCUCUGUAUUACCGCGGCUGCUGGCACAGAGUUAGCCGGUGCUUAUUCUGUCGGUACCGUCAAGGCUUUGGAUAUUCACCAAAGCUUUUUCUUUCCGACCUAAAGUGCUUUACAACCCGAAGGCCUUCUUCACACACGCGGCAUUGCUGGAUCAGGCUUUCGCCCAUUGUCCAAUAUUCCCCACUGCUGCCUCCCGUAGGAGUCCGGACCGUGUCUCAGUUCCGGUGUGACUGAUCAUCCUCUCAGACCAGUUACGGAUCGUUGCCUUGGUAGGCCUUUACCCUACCAACUAGCUAAUCCGACGUAGGCUCCUCCAAGAGCGUGAGGCCUUGCGGUCCCCCACUUUGCUCCAAAGAGAUCAUGCGGUAUUAAUCCGAGUUUCCCCGGGCUAUCCCCCACUCAAGGGCAGAUUCCUACGUAUUACUCACCCGUCCGCCACUAGGGUAUUGCUACCCCCGUUCGACUUGCAUGUGUUAGGCAUGCCGCCAGCGU